ACGUGUAAUUCAAAAGUAAAAAACUUAUGAAGAAUCACAUGUCUCAUGAUUAGUGUUAUAAAGAAAAAAGAAAGCAUGCAUACAGGAAUAUCCACAUAAGCAAUUUUGCAAUGCCAAGUGAGUACACCUAUGUGAAACUGAGAAGUGAUUGCUCGAGGCCUUCCCUGCAAUGGUACAGCCGAGCUCAAAGCAAGAUGAGAAGGCCCAGCUUGUUAUUAAAAGACAUCCUCAAAUGCACAUUGCUUGUGUUUGGAGUGUGGAUCCUUUAUAUCCUCAAGUUAAAUUAUACUACUGAAGAAUGUGACAUGAAAAAAAUGCAUUAUGUGGACCCUGACCGUGUAAAGAGAGCUCAGAAAUAUGCUCAGCAAGUCUUGCAGAAGGAAUGUCGUCCCAAGUUUGCCAAGACAUCAAUGGCACUGUUAUUUGAGCACAGGUAUAGCGUGGACUUACUCCCUUUUGUGCGGAAGGCCCCCAAAGACAGUGAAGCUGAGUCCAAGUACGAUCCUCCUUUUGGGUUCCGGAAGUUCUCCAGUAAAGUCCAGAACCUCUUGGAGCUCUUGCCAGAGCACGACCUCCCUGAACACUUGAAAGCCAAGACCUGUCGGCGCUGUGUGGUUAUUGGAAGCGGAGGAAUACUGCACGGAUUAGAACUGGGCCACACCCUGAACCAGUUCGAUGUUGUGAUAAGGUUAAACAGUGCACCAGUUGAGGGAUAUUCAGAACAUGUUGGAAAUAAAACUACUAUAAGGAUGACUUAUCCAGAGGGCGCACCACUGUCCGACCUUGAAUAUUAUUCCAAUGACUUGUUUGUUGCUGUUUUAUUUAAGAGUGUUGAUUUCAACUGGCUUCAAGCAAUGGUAAAAAAUGAAACCCUGAACGUCCCCACAAUCGGUGUCAUUGCCGUUGUCUUAGCCACACACCUGUGCGAUGAAGUCAGUUUGGCAGGUUUUGGAUAUGACCUCAAUCAACCCAGAACACCUUUGCACUACUUCGACAAUCAGUGCAUGGCUGCUAUGAACUUUCAGACCAUGCAUAAUGUGACAACGGAAACCAAGUUCCUCUUAAAGCUGGUCAAAGAGGGAGUGGUGAAAGACCUCAGCGGAGGCAUUCAUUGUGAAUUUUGAACACAGAAAACCUCAGUUGAAAAUGCAACUCUAACUCUGAGGGCUGUUUUUGACAGCCUUCUUGAUGUAUUUCUCCAUC
RNAcentral lists this small RNA (1203 nucleotides) under Pongo abelii (Sumatran orangutan). RNAcentral describes it as "processed transcript". Lineage: Eukaryota; Metazoa; Chordata; Mammalia; Primates; Hominidae. The record is from RNAcentral.